Quercus robur (English oak) is the source of this 713-nucleotide long non-coding RNA. RefSeq lists it as uncharacterized. The record is from RefSeq and is a predicted model, not a curated record. NCBI's taxonomy places the organism in Eukaryota, Viridiplantae, Streptophyta, Magnoliopsida, Fagales, Fagaceae. The transcript is spliced from 3 exons.
CCACCUUUUGGAAUACUUUUACAUAAUUUAAUACGUCUUUGUUUGACUGCUUGGUUAAGAUUUAAGCACAUUUGGGCAUUGCGAACACCCAACAAUUGAUUCCACACUUCUAGCGUAGAGGAAUUGCCUUCAAGUAUUAACAACAUUUGCUGGUCUAUCCUGACGAAAGCUCCUCAAUCCAUUUGAACUAAAUCAUUCUUCAGGUACACAAAAGCCAAUUGACAAGUUGAAAUGGCGACAAAGGAUUUCAAUUCAAACGACGAUGAAGCAGUCAAUAUAGAGUGUAGGAGUCUUUAUGUGGCUGCGAUGAAUGGUGACUGGAAAUCUGUUAAGGACAUGCCAAACAUUGAAAGAAAAAUUACAAAGAAAGGAGAAACCACUCUUCAUAUUGCUGCUGCAGCAAACUAAGAAGAGUUUGUGAAGAAUUUAGUGAAUAGAUUGAGCUGCGAAAACCUAACAGCUGAAAACAUUGUUGGGAACACUGCUUUGACCUAUGCUGCUGCAACUGGAAAUGUGAAUAUUGCCAAGGCGAUGUUGAAGAAAAAUAGUAACCUGCCAAAUCUAGGUAGUAGGGUGAAACCACUCUUUAUGGCUGCUUCGUUAGGACACAGUCAAAUGGUGCAGUUUCUUUAUUCUCAGACUAAAGAGAUAGUUUGCGGGUGGGAUGAAAAUGAACAAGCUAAACUAUUUAUCAGUUGUGUUGAGGGUAACUU